CCUACGGGAGGCAGCAGUGAGGAAUAUUGGUCAAUGGACGAGAGUCUGAACCAGCCAAGUAGCGUGAAGGAUGACUGCCCUGUGGGUUGUAAACUUCUUUUAUAAAGGAAUAAAACGAGGCACGCGUGCCUUUUUGCAUGUACUUUAUGAAUAAGGAUCGGCUAACUCCGUGCCAGCAGCCGCGGUAAUACGGAGGAUCCGAGCGUUAUCCGGAUUUAUUGGGUUUAAAGGGAGCGUAGAUGGGUUGUUAAGUCAGUUGUGAAAGGUUGCGGCUCAACCGUAAAAUUGCAAUUGAUACUGGCAGUCUUGAGUACAGUUGAGGUAGGCGGAAUUCGUGGUGUAGCGGUGAAAUGCUUAGAUAUCACGAAGAACCCCGAUUGCGAAGGCAGCUUACUAAACUGUGACUGACAUUGAGGCUCGAAAGUGUGGGUAUCAAACAGGAUUAGAUACCCCUGUAGUC
RNAcentral lists this ribosomal RNA (460 nucleotides) under uncultured bacterium. RNAcentral's name for it is "partial 16S ribosomal RNA". It matches the Rfam family "Bacterial small subunit ribosomal RNA", at positions 338 to 795 of the family's 1533-position model. The record is from RNAcentral.